GCUCAGGACGAACGCNGGCGGCGUGCUUAACACAUGCAAGUCGAGCGGUAAGGCCCUUCGGGGUACACGAGCGGCGAACGGGUGAGUAACACGUGGGUGAUCUGCCCUGCACUUCGGGAUAAGCCUGGGAAACUGGGUCUAAUACCGGAUACGACCUUCGGCUGCAUGGCUGGGGGUGGAAAGGUUUACUGGUGCAGGAUGGGCCCGCGGCCUAUCAGCUUGUUGGUGGGGUAAUGGCCUACCAAGGCGACGACGGGUAGCCGACCUGAGAGGGUGACCGGCCACACUGGGACUGAGACACGGCCCAGACUCCUACGGGAGGCAGCAGUGGGGAAUAUUGCACAAUGGGCGAAAGCCUGAUGCAGCGACGCCGCGUGAGGGAUGACGGCCUUCGGGUUGUAAACCUCUUUCAGCAGGGACGAAGCGUGAGUGACGGUACCUGCAGAAGAAGCACCGGCUAACUACGUGCCAGCAGCCGCGGUAAUACGUAGGGUGCAAGCGUUGUCCGGAAUUACUGGGCGUAAAGAGUUCGUAGGCGGUUUGUCGCGUCGUUUGUGAAAACUCACAGCUCAACUGUGAGCUUGCAGGCGAUACGGGCAGACUUGAGUACUGCAGGGGAGACUGGAAUUCCUGGUGUAGCGGUGAAAUGCGCAGAUAUCAGGAGGAACACCGGUGGCGAAGGCGGGUCUCUGGGCAGUAACUGACGCUGAGGAACGAAAGCGUGGGUAGCGAACAGGAUUAGAUACCCUGGUAGUCCACGCCGUAAACGGUGGGCGCUAGGUGUGGGUUCCUUCCACGGGAUCCGUGCCGUAGCUAACGCAUAAGCGCCCC
This 831-nucleotide ribosomal RNA is filed under the name Rhodococcus marinonascens. RNAcentral's name for it is "bacterial SSU rRNA". It matches the Rfam family "Bacterial small subunit ribosomal RNA", at positions 22 to 870 of the family's 1533-position model. The record is from RNAcentral. Lineage: Bacteria; Bacillati; Actinomycetota; Actinomycetes; Mycobacteriales; Nocardiaceae.